RNAcentral lists this non-coding RNA (21 nucleotides) under Caenorhabditis elegans. Lineage: Eukaryota; Metazoa; Nematoda; Chromadorea; Rhabditida; Rhabditidae. The record is from RNAcentral.
UCCAACAAAAAUACAUCAUAC